This 72-nucleotide transfer RNA is filed under the name Collybiopsis luxurians FD-317 M1. RNAcentral's name for it is "tRNA-Asp (GTC) (tRNA-Asp-GTC-3-1)". It matches the Rfam family "tRNA". Rfam says of the family: Transfer RNA (tRNA) molecules are approximately 80 nucleotides in length. Their secondary structure includes four short double-helical elements and three loops (D, anti-codon, and T loops). Lineage: Eukaryota; Fungi; Basidiomycota; Agaricomycetes; Agaricales; Omphalotaceae. The record is from RNAcentral.
UCCCUGGUAGUAUAUCGGUUAGUACACGCGCCUGUCACGCGUGAAAGCUGGGUUCGACUCCCAGCCAGGGAG